This 458-nucleotide ribosomal RNA is filed under the name uncultured bacterium. Its description in RNAcentral is "partial 16S ribosomal RNA". It matches the Rfam family "Bacterial small subunit ribosomal RNA", at positions 338 to 795 of the family's 1533-position model. The record is from RNAcentral.
CCUACGGGGGGCAGCAGUGGGGAAUAUUGCACAAUGGGGGAAACCCUGAUGCAGCGACGCCGCGUGAGUGAAGAAGUAAUUCGUUACGUAAAGCUCUAUCAGCAGGGAAGAAAAACUGACCUUACGGUCAGCAGACGGUACCUGAGUAAGAAGCCCCGGCUAACUACGUGCCAGCAGCCGCGGUAAUACGUAGGGGGCAAGCGUUAUCCGGAUUUACUGGGUGGAAAGGGAGCGUAGACGGUGCGCCAAGUCUGGAGUGAAAUGCCGCAGGUUAACUGCGGAACUGCUUUGGAAACUGGCGAACUAGAGUGCGGGAGGGGUAAGCGGAAUUCGUGGUGUAGCGGUGAAAUGCGUAGAUAUUAGGAGGAACACCGGUGGCGAAGGCGGCUUACUGGACCGUAACUGACGUUGAGGCUCGAAAGCGUGGGGAGCAAACAGGAUUAGAUACCCUGGUAGUC